AUGCAAGUGUGAAUGUUGUCUAUCUGUGUUGGCCCUGUGAUGAGGUAGAGACUUGUCCAGGGUGUACCCCGCCUUCCGCCCAAAUGCAGCUGAGAUAGGCUCCAGCACCCCCUGUGACCCCAAAAGGGACAAGCGGUAGAAAAUGGAUGGAUGGGUUUUAUUUGGGGUCUGGUCAGGUAAACUACAAGGUCAACAUGUAUUUUUAAUUUGUGUCCUCAUGGUUUUAUUUGGGGUCAGGUCAACUACAAGGUCAACAUGUAUUUAAUUUGUGUCAUGGUUUUAUUUGGGGUCAGGUCAACUACAAGGACAACAUGUAUUUAAUUUGUGGUAUGGUUUUAUUUGGGGUCAGGUCAACUACAAGGUCAACAUGUAUUUAACUUGUGUAAUGGUUUUAUUUGGGGUCAGGUCAACUACAAGGACAACAUGUAUUUAAUUUGUGGUGUUAUGGUUUUAUUUGGGGUCAGGUCAACUACAAGGUCAACAUGUAUUUAAUUUGUGUCAUGGUUUUAUUUGGGGUCAGGUCAACUAAAAUGUCAACAUGUAUUUAAUUUGUGGUGUUAUGGUUUUAUUUGGGGUCAGGUCAACUACAAGGUCAAUGUGUAUUUAAUGUGUGUCAUGGUUUUAUUUGGGGUCAGGUCAACUUGAAGGUCAACAUGUAUAUAAUUUGUCCUCAUGGUUUUGGUCAACUACAAAGUCAACAUGUAUUUAACUUGUGUCAUGGUUUUAUUUGGGGUCAGGUCAACUACAAGGUCAACAUGUAUUUAAUUUGUGAUGUUAUGGUUUUAUUUGGGGUCAGGUCAACAUGUAUUUAAUUUGUCCGCAUGGUUUUGGUCAACUACAAAGUCAACAUGUAUAUAUUUUGUGCCCUCAUGGUUUUGGUCAACUACAAAGUCAACAUGUAUGUAUUUUGUGUCCUCAUGGUUUUGGUCAACUACAAGGUCAACAUGUAUGUAUUUUGUGUCCUCAUGGUUUUAUUUGGGGUCAGGUCAACUACAAGGUCAACGUGUAUUUAAUUUGUGGUGUUAUGGUUUUAUUUGGGGUCAGGUCAACUACAAGGUCAAUGUGUAUUUAAUUUGUGUCAUGGUUUUAUUUGGGGUCAGGUCAACUACAAGGUCAACAUGUAUUUAAUUUGUGGUGUUAUGGUUUUAUUUGGGGUCAGGUCAACUACAAGGUCAACAUGUAUUUAACUUGUGUAAUGGUUUUAUUUGGGGUCAGGUCAACUACAAGGACAACAUGUAUUUAAUUUGUGGUGUUAUGGUUUUAUUUGGGGUCAGGUCAACUACAAGGUCAACAUGUAUUUAAUUUGUGUCAUGGUUUUAUUUGGGGUCAGGUCAACUACAAGGACAACAUGUAUUUAAUUUGUGGUGUUAUGGUUUUAUUUGGGGUCAGGUCAACUACAAGGUCAACGUGUAUUUAAUUUGUGUCCUCAUUGUUUUAUUUGGGGUCAGGUCAACUACAAGGUCAACAUGUAUUUAACUUGUGUCAUGGUUUUAUUUGGGGUCAGGUCAACUAAAAGGUCAACGUGUAUUUAAUGUGUGGUGUUAUGGUUUUAUUUGGGGUCAGGUCAACAUGUAUUUAAUUUGUGGUGUUAUGGUUUUAUUUGGGGUCAGGUCAACUACAAGGUCAAUGUGUAUUUAAUUUGUGUCAUGGUUUUAUUUGGGGUCAGGUCAACUUGAAGGUCAACAUGUAUAUAAUUUGUCCUCAUGGUUUUGGUCAACUACAAAGUCAACAUGUAUUUAACUUGUGUCAUGGUUUUAUUUGGAGUCAGGUCAACUACAAGGUCAACAUGUAUUUAAUUUGUCCUCAUGGUUUUGGUCAACUACAAAGUCAACAUGUAUUUAACUUGUGUCAUGGUUUUAUUUGGGGCAGGUCAACUACAAGGUCAACAUGUAUUUAAUUUGUGGUGUUAUGGUUUUAUUUGGGGUCAGGUCAACUACAAGGUCAAUGUGUAUUUAAUUUGUGUCAUGGUUUUAUUUGGGGUCAGGUCAACUUGAAGGUCAACAUGUAUAUAAUUUGUCCUCAUGGUUUUGGUCAACUACAAGGUCAACAUGUAUUUAACUUGUGUCAUGGUUUUAUUUGGGGUCAGGUCAACUACAAGGUCAACAUGUAUUUAAUUUGUGGUGUUAUGGUUUUAUUUGGGGUCAGGUCAACAUGUAUUUAAUUUGUGGUGUUAUGGUUUUAUUUGGGGUCAGGUCAACUACAAGGUCAAUGUGUAUUUAGUUUGUAGUUGACCAAAACCAUGAGGACAAAGUCAACAUGUAUGUAUUUUGUGUCCUCAUGGUUUUGGUCAACUACACGGUCAACAUGUAUGUAUUUUGUGUCCUCAUGGUUUUAUUUGGGGUCAGGUCAACUACAAGGUCAACGUGUAUUUAAUUUGUGUCAUGGUUUUAUUUGGGGUCAGGUCAACUACAAGGUCAAUGUGUAUUUAAUUUGUCAUGGUUCUAUUUGGGGUCAGGUCGACUUUAAGGUCAACAUGUAUAUAAUUUGUCCUCAUGGUUUUGGUCAACUACAUAGUCAACAUGUAUGUAUUUUGUGUCCUCAUGGUUUUAUUUGGGGUCAGGUCAACUACAAGGUCAACAUGUAUGUAUUUUGUGUCCUCAUGGUUUUAUUUGGGGUCAGGUCAACUACAAGGUCAAUAUGUAUUUAAUUUGUGUCCUCAUGGUUUUAUUUGGGGUCAGGUCAACAUGUAUUUAUUUUGUGUCCUCAUGGUUUUAUUUGGGGUCAGGUCAACUACAAGGUCAACAUGUAUUUAAUUUGUCCUCAUGGUUUUAUUUGGGGUCAGGUCAACACGUAUGUAUUUUAUGUCCUCAUGGUUUUGGUCAACUACAAGGUCAACAUGUAUGUAUCUUGUGUCCUCACGGUUUUGGUCAACAGGUAUGUAGUUUGUGUCGUCAUGGUUUUAUUUGGGGUCAGGUCAACUACAAGGUCAAUAUGUAUGUAUUUUGUGUCCUCAUGGUUUUAUUUGGGGUCAGGUCAGUAUGUAUUUUGUGUCAUGGUUUUGGUCAACAUGUAUGUAUUUUGUGUCCUCAUGGUUUUGGUCAAAUACAAGGUCAACAUGUAUGUAUUUUGUGUCCUCGUGGUUUUGGUCAAAUACAAGGUCAACGUGUAUGUAUUUUGUGUCCUUGUGGUUUUGGUCAACUACAAGGUCAACAUGAAUGUAUUUUGUGUCCUCAUGGUUUUGGUCAACAUUAUGUAUUUUGUGUCCUCAUGGUUUUGGUCAACAUGUAUGUAUUUUGUGUCCUCAUGGUUUUGGUCAACAUGUAAGUAUUUUGUGUCCUCAUGGUUUUGGUCGACUACAAGGUCAACAUGAAUGUAUUUUGUGUCCUCAUGGUUUUGGUCAACAUGUAUGUAUUUUGUCCUCGUGGUUUUGGUCAACUACAAGGUCAACAUUAUGUAUUUUGUGUCCUCAUGGUUGUGGUCAACAUGUAUAUGUAUUUUGUGUCCUCAUGGUUUUGGUCAACUACAAGGUCAACAUGCAUAUGUAUUCUGUGUCCUCAUGGUUUUGGUCAACAUGUAUAUGUAUUUUGUGUCCUCAUGGUUUUGGUCAACUACAAGGUCAACCUGUAUAUGUAUUUUGUGUCCUCGUGGUUUUGGUCAACAUAUGUAUUUUGUGUCCUCGUGGUUUUGGGCAACAGUUAUGUAUGUAUAUGUAUUGUGUCAGUUUUGGUCAACUACAAGGUCAACAUGUAUGUGGGGUUUGGUCAACUACAAGGUCGACAAGUAUUUGAUUUGUGUCCUCAUGGUCUCGGUCAACUACAAGCUCCUCUUUCACAUAACUCAAUUGUAGGUUCUCUUUUGGUCCCUUCCCAGAAAAGCUGAUGGUCCUCCAUCAGGUGGAUGAGCUUGCACAUCUUCCUCAGACAUCUCAUCUUCUACCUUGGCCUCCAAACCUUCAACAAAUUGCUCUGAUUUAUAGUUUUGGUUGUUGGGUUGUGUGUUUUGACUCCAUGUGCGUCCAGUAUGUCCUUCACAAAGCUAUGGCUGAUUUCAGUAUGUGGUUCUUCAUCCUCAAGAAUAGGUAUUUAGUGUGUAUCCUCAAAACAAGUCUUCGGAAGAUUAGGACCAUUGUGGUCUUGGGGAUUUUCUAACUCCACCGACAGUUGGUCCUCUUGGUCUCCUACGGGCGUUCCCUCUCCGCAGCGGGCGUGCCUCCGCAAGAGAUCUGCAAUCAACACACCUGCCCGUGAUGAGCGACCAGCCUUCAUAAGCCAGCGUGUCUUAAGAGCCGGUGCCAGAACGUAGCUUCUCGUACCCAGAACACUGUGUCUCGUCUACCUGGACCCCCUUUGGAUUCCCUCCUUUUCUUACUGGACUUCGACCUCACGCCUGCCCACUGACCACGACGCCUCGCUCCUGUCCUCUACCAUCCACCUGCCCUCUGAUGCCCGAGCCUGUGUUUUCCCCUUUUGGACUUCCGCCUCGAUCUCAACACGCACACUCAACGCCCUCUGGUGACCACGCUCGGAUAAUACUUACACAUAGUCACACUACAUCUCUUUAAGCUAAUCACACACUGCACUCACAUACUGAGCUGUCAAUAAACACGCUGACAGCUAACGACGUCAUCGCCAUAUGUAUGUCACCAGCUUUUUUCUACAAAUAAA
Long non-coding RNA from Entelurus aequoreus (snake pipefish), 4604 nucleotides. RefSeq lists it as uncharacterized. NCBI's taxonomy places the organism in Eukaryota, Metazoa, Chordata, Actinopteri, Syngnathiformes, Syngnathidae. The record is from RefSeq and is a predicted model, not a curated record. The transcript has 3 exons.